AUGUUUUUUGAGGUUUCUCCCCCUGCCAUCGAGCGGGAGAGAACGAGUGGGUUUGAGGGAACCCGCCUGGCCGUUUUUCGUGGGACCCGGGGAGGUCGCAUAGGAGCGAGCGGGCGAGAGGAGGUCCGGCAUCGCUCUCCACCAGGGUCCCCCUUCGACCCGGGGCUCGUGAGAGGGGGGAGGAAGCACACGUCCGCCGAGACUGUGUCUGCGGAGAAGAGGGCGACGGAAACGUUCUUGGAUUAUUUUUCUAGGCUGUCCAAGAUCCUAGAGAUUCCCAAAAGUGUUCACGUCACGGCUGCUGAGCCAGCACCACAGUCCAGGAGGGUCGCCAACCCAGCGCCACAGCACAAGAUGGCCGCCAGCCCUGCGCCACAGCACAAGAUGGCCGCCAGCCCAGCGCCACAGCACAAGAUGGCCGCCAGCCCAGCGCCACAGCACAAGAUGGCCGCGGAGACAUUGUUGAGUUACUUUUCUAGGAUGUGCCAGAUCCCGGAGAUUCCCAGGAGUGUUCACAUCACGGCCGCUGAGCCAGCGCCAAUGCCCAGGAUGGCCACCAGUUCAGCACCACAGCGCAAGAUGGCCGCCAGCCCAGCGCCAUUGCACAGGAUGGCUGCCAGCUCAGCGUGCCCAGCACCACAGCACGGGAUGGCCGCCGGCCCAGCACCACAGCACAAGAUGGUUGACUCAACGCCUGAGUCUUCCGUCAAGGAGCCACCGGCACGCCAUCAUAGAGGCCGCAGGAGGAGGAGACAGGCGUCAGCCGUUCCUCGAAGCCCGGAGGACGUUCCCGAGCAGGCCGCUGCCGUCCAGGAGGACGUUCCCGAGCGGGCCGCUGCCGUCCAGGAGGACGUUCCCGAGCGGGCCGCUGCCGUCCAGGAGGACGUUCCCGAGCGGGCCGCUGCCGUCCAGGUGGACGUGCCCGAGGUUCCCGAGGCGGGGCUCGAGGUGGUUCUGGAUGCCGAGGCGGUGCCCGAGGCUGUGCCCGAUGCCGAGGCUGUGUCCGAGGCCGAGGCGGUGCCUGAUGCCGAGGCGGUGCCCGAGGCGGUGCCUGAUGCGGUGGCCGAGGCGGUUCCCGAUGCAAUGUCCGAUGCCGAGGCGGUGCCCGAUGCCGAGGCGGUGCCCGAGGCGAUGGCCGAGGCGGUGGUCGAGGCAGAGGCGGUUCCCGAUGCGAUGCCCGAGGCCGAGGCGGUGGCCGAGGCAGAGGCGGUUCCCGAUGCCGAGGCGGUGCACGAGGCCGAGGCGGUGCCCGAUGCCGAGGCGGUGCCCGAGGCCAGGGCGGUGCCCGAGGCGGUCCCCGAUGCCGAGGCGGUCCCCGAUGCAAUGCCCGAUGCCGAGGCGGUGCCCGAUGCGGUGCCAGAGACGGUGCCAGAGACGGUUCCCGAUGUAAUGCCCGAGACCGAGGCUGUUCCGGAGGUCGAGGCGGUGCCCGAUGUCGUUCCUGAUGCCGUUCCCAAUGCCGUGACCGGGCCAUCGCCACAGCCUGCUCCUUACUGGCUCCCCGAUUGGCAGGUUCCGUUCGGGCCACUCAAAUGGCGAAUUCCUCCCUGGCCGUCUGCACAACGAGAAUGGACUGAUCCACCGUGGCCACCGGAACUGCCUGGUCCCUCGUGGUCCCCUGAACUUUCGGGUCCACCGUGGCCACCUGAACUGCCUGGUCCCUCGUGGUCCCCUGAACUUUCGGGUCCACCAUGGCCCCCUGAACUGACCAAGCCACCUGGGUUACCAGAACUUUCGGGUCCACCAUGGCCCCCUGAUCUGACCAAGCCACCUGGGCUACCAGGGGAGCCAUCGCUGCCGGUCCCAGUUCCCCUACACGGGCCUGGCCCGCCAUCCCUCCCCCUGUUCUGCCUCCACCAGUCCACCUCCCUCCUGGUCUCUUUGUUUUGUGUUUAUUUGGUUCUGAGGAGCAUCUGGAAGCUGCUCCUUAGAGGGGGGGUAGUGUCACGGUGUCUGUUCUGUGUCUCCCUGGGUGGCCACUAGAGGUCUCACUUCCCCUUAUUGUCAUCUUCGUCAGAACUUCAUUUCCCACUAGCCUUAGCUGCUCAUCACUGUUCAUUGUAUUCAGCUGUCACCACUUACCUUGUUUGCACCUGUCUUUAAAUACCCUGGUUGUUCUGUCUUUGUUACGGAGUCCUUGUUGAAUGUCACCCUGCGUUUUCCUGGUUCCCUGGUUUCUCGUGUUUUUGUAUGUUGUUUAUGUUUUUUUGUUUUGGACGGAUUACCUGGAUGUUGACCUUUGCCUGGCUAAGUUAUGAUUUUUGGAUUGCCUCAAUAAACAUACUGCAAUUGGAUCUACCUGUCUGUGUGCGGUUCGUGACAGAAUGAGAAUGUGUUUAGAGUUUUGCAAAAAGAGUGCAUGAGAUUUGCAAAUAGAGCCUAACUGCCUGAACAUGUUUAAGGUUUAGCAGAAAGAGUGCUUUAUUCAACAAAUUGCUUCAGAGAAAACUGUAAUAGAGACCAUCUGGUUUUCGUGAUCCUGGUUCACAUGCCUCAAUCCAUGCAGGGCUUUUCAGAAAGUCAGUAUGACAGUAUGAGAUUAAUAAACAAUGUUCUAUUCUAUUAAAAUAAAUAUGCUGUAAUCGUGUGAAUACAUAAUGUGCGCACUUUUGAAGUAAAAGCUUGUAUGUUGUCUAGCGAAGCUCUGAUCAAAAUUAAAUGGAAGCAAACAUGAUUGAAUAUGUGCAGGUUUGUGCUCAUUAUUAUAUUCAAAAUAUCAUUAACUACCGAUUGAUU
Molecule: long non-coding RNA, 2736 nt
Organism: Cyprinus carpio carpio
Lineage: Eukaryota; Metazoa; Chordata; Actinopteri; Cypriniformes; Cyprinidae
Source: Ensembl